GGUGCAGCCCUAAAGGACAAAAAAUAAAAAGAAGUAAAUAAAAAUAAAUUUAAAAAAAACCUGUGGAAAUUAAUAACAAUGUUUUGUUUUAGCUUUUCCCUUUGAUUUUGGUGUUUUAAAUUUGAAUUCUUCUGUUGAAAAUGUCAAUACUAGUUUAAAUUUUGUUUAACCUGAUUUCUAAUGUUCUAAGUCUUGCCAUUAGAAAAACUCGUCAACUUCUUAUUCACGUAAUUAUUUUGAACAUUUUCCUAAUGUAUAUGUUCAUGGAGGAAGUUAGAUAGAGUUGGUUGCUAGGCCUCUUACCUCCUUCCCUCCCUUUUUUUCUUCCUCCUUUCCUUCCUUUUAAUUUUUAUAUUGAAAUAUUUUAGACUUUCAGAAGAGUUAACAAAAAUAGUACUUUUCACCCAACUUUUCCUAAUGGUUACACUAUAUAACCCCAUAGUAUAUUUUCCAAAACUAAGAAAUUGACAUUGAUAUAGUACUAUUAUUUAAAUUACUGACUUUUUCAUGGUUCCUAGUCGGAUUUGUUUCCUCUGCACCACGACAGGAACUCCUGAAAUUAAUCAUUUUAAAAUGAACAACUCAGUCGCAUUUGGUUGUGGCGUAACCCACCACCUCUAUCUAAUUCCAAAACAUUUUCAUCACCUUAAAAGGAAACCCAUGCCCAUUAAUCACUUGCUCCCAAUUCCCCCUUUUCUCAGCCUCCCACUCCUAAUCCAUCUCUAAGGUUUAAUCUUGGGUAGUUCAUAGUAAUGGAAUCAUACAGUAAGUGUUGUUUUUGUUUCUGGCUUCUCUCAGUGUUAUAUUUUCAAGGUCCGUCCAUAUUUUAGUAUUUAUCUAGUACUUCAUUUCUUUUUAUGGCUGAAUAACAUUUCAUUUUACAUAUAUACCUCAGUUUGCUUAUCCAUUCAUCCGUUGAUUGACAUUUGGGCUGUUUCUAGUUUUUUGCUAUUGUGAAUAAUGCUGGUAUGAAUAAACAUGUGUGCACAUGUUUUGUUGAACUAUUGGAUCGUGUGGUAGUUCUAACAAACUUUCUGGUUCAGGUAUUCUUUAAUUCUUUUGAUUUUCAUUUUAUUGACUUUAAUUUUCUUAUAGAAUAAUAGGGUACCAUGACAUUUUGAGCAAAAAUAUUCUUUUAGGUUUUGCAUGUCAGAGUGAGUUAUGUUUUGAAACCUGGAGGUAUUUGUCAUUCUGAUUAAGCUAUUUUUUUCUGGAUUUGAUUGUUGACAUACUUUACCUGUUUUUCCCAUUUAUAAUGAUAACAAGAUACAGUGCUAGAUAGAAUCCAUGUGUUUGCUGUGUUUUAUAUGUUAUCAGUUGAUGUUAUAUUGCUUUGUCCUUAUUUCGAACAGUUUAUCUUCCAACAUACAGGAAAUUUACUAGUUUAAGGAAACAUUUAUAAUAAAUACCCUCAAAGAACAGUGUAAGGAAACUUUUUAUACUUUUAAAUAAUUUUUUCAUUUCAGAUUUGAGAUUUUUUUAAUAUAAUUUUGUACUUUGUAAUGAUUUAUCUUCACAGGAUAGGUUAAUACAAUGCUGUCUUGAUUUUAAAACUUGUUUUAUCCUUUUCCAUAUAGAGGCUAGAGAAAGGAAUGAUAAUUCUACUGGAAGCUUGGCAAAAUGGCAGAUGAGAAAGAAAGUCCUCUACUUAAGAAGAGAUCAGAUCUAUAAAGGCUGUUCUUUAGUCCAGUUUUCCUUAAUUUUGAGUAACUGGGGAACUCACAUGUAGUCUCUGAAUAUAUUUCCACCAAAGAAGAGUAUGAGUUGGUUCUUCAAUGGCUUAAAACCAAAUCUUUUGUCUUCAGUAGGUCUUCUUCCAAAAAGGCCAGCAGCCUUUUAUGCCCAAACUCUGUUGGCCCAGGAGAUCUCCCUUUCCCCAUGUGGUAGGAAGCUCUGGUAGACCUGAAGCUUUUGAGUAGAGUCAAAGAAGCCUUGAACUUUUGGUCUGGGUGAGAAUUUCAGCUCUGGCAUUUUCAGCCUUGUUGGGUUUUAAGCUCUAGAGUAAAACUCAUGGCCUACUCUUGAUCUGACGCUAGACAUCUGAUGUGGACAUUGAUCCUGUAGCCCAAUGGUCUUCUUUGCAUUGGGGAGGAAAAGUUGUUGGAGUUUUUAUGGAAAAGGAGCAAAUGAAUGGACAGAGUAUUUGAGAACAACUUGAAGCAUAGAAGCUUGUUUCUGUUAGCAAUUCUCAGAAAUAAAGCAGUAUGUGAGGGCCUUGACUUAUACAGGUCUGGUGACGGAACUUAAAGUAGAGAGAUACCUCUGAAGAGGUAGCAUAUUUCCUCUAGAUUAAUGUCUCUCCAUCUCUAGUAUGUAGACUAAUGGAGCAGAUUUGAACUUAGCACUUUUGUUUCUUGCAGUUCAGGUUUUUUUUUUCUCUUUUCCCUCAUGUCUAGGACCUCUGCUAGCUAGGUAAGUAUCUAAUGGUUUAUAGUGUCACUUGGGUAUGAAAGUGCCUUAGGCUAUUGCUGAGGUUUGGGCUGUUGGGGUGAUAAUAGUUAAACUUUGGACUGCACGUUUGGGAAUUGGAGUGUCUGUAUUCUGGGAUGCUUGGUGAUAACAAAGCCAUAUGUACUUAUAAACAUUCUUAUUAUUUUUGUAAACUCAUUUUUUUAGAAUUGAAAAUGUGUCACUUUUUUGAGUGUUCAAUUUUUAAAUAAAAAUGUUUAUGAAUUUUAGAUAUAUAAAGAGAUUUAAAUAAUAUUUAAGAAUCCUUUAGGUAUAGCAUGGUGACUUUAUAGUUAAUAAUAUAGUAUGGUGUAUUUGAAAGUUGCUAAGGGAGUAGAUCUAAGAAGUUCUCAACACAAGAAAAACAGUUGUAACUGUGUGUGCUAAUGGAUAUUAACUAGACUAAUUGUAAUCAUUUUGCAGUAUAUACUAAUAUCACUAUGUGUAAAAUAAGCUACAAGGAUAUAUUGUACAAUGCAGGGAAUAUAGCCAAUAUUUUAUAAUAACUAUAAAUGGAAUAUAACCUUUAAAAAUUGUGAAUUACUAUAUUGUUUACCUGAAACUUAUAUAAUCUUGUUCAUUAACUAUACUUCAAUAAAAAAUAAAAAUUAAAAAGUAUAUAUUAAAGUUGGAUAAUUUGGUAUACCUAAAAUUAAUAUAAUGUUAUAUGUCAAUUAUAUCUCAGUUAAAAAGGUAAAUUUUUUUAAAAAAUUCAAAUGAAUCAGAUAACUCAGUUUUACUUUUAAUAAUAGUAAUUGAAUAAGAACUUCAUCCAAUUUUAAAAAGGAAAGAUAAAAAAUUCUUGAUUUUUAUUAAAAAGGAAAAUUACAUACAGCAAUUCUAAGAAUAGUAAUGUUACCAUUUUUUUCAUUGUUAGUGAGUUGUUGAGUCAAUCUGAUAGCAUCAGGAGUACUGUAAUAAAAUGAAAAUUUUGUAUAUGAACAUAGUAUAAAAUAUGAAUGUUCAUUUCUUUAGUCAGAAGGUGGAAAUUGCUUUGUAGAAUGAAGUUUAAAAGGAAUAUGAAAUUCAUAGGUGCUGUACCGUAAGUCACCAUUAUAACACAUUUACCACUUUGCAUGUUAAGCCAGCAACUUAGACUUCAGAAUUACAUCAGUGGAUACAUGCAUUAAAGACGAUCCCUCUGGAAAAAAAGGAAUAAAAUUCCUCCAGCAACUUUAAAUCAGGUGUAAAGAGGGCGGUACUUUUGUAAAUACAGAGCCACUGUGUGAAAGCCCUGCUUUGAAGCCUGAGACUAAAUUCGAAAGUGUGACAUAUUGUUUUCUUUUCUUUAAGGAACUCCAUUUGGCUUGUGUAGAGUGUUCUUCCCAACCCUUCCCUGCCCUCUUUGUGAAUUUUUCUUUAUGAGUAGGAGAGAAGUAAAAAUUAUAUUACCCAUUUGAAAUUAUUGCUUUAUUAUAUUACUGUUAAAAUUUAUUAAGCUGAUAAAUUAAAAAUGUCUUAUUUCAUCAUGUGCAUAUCUAUAUGUGUAUAUCCAUCAUAAUUAUCAUACUCCAAGUAUUUAUACUACUUCUACCCCAUUGCAAGCCACCAUUCUCUCUCACCUAGACUCUGUAGAAGUCUCUUAGCUGAUUUCUUUUUAUACCAGCCUCCCUCACCAACAAAUUUGUUCUCUAUGGAGCACCAAGUGAUUCUUUAGUAGUGAAUGUCAGAGCAGGCUACUCAAAAAUUCCACUUCUUGUUCAUUAAUUUCUUUUUGUUUUUAAUUUGAGUAUAGUUGAUUUAAAAUGUUGUGUUUUAGGUGUACCGCAAAGUGAUUCCAUUACACCUUAUGUUUAAGAGAUAGACAAUAUUUAAGAAAUAGGUCUCGAUAAUUGAUAGGUAUGGAAUAGCAAGGAUGAUGCAUAAGAGUCUACAUGGGAAGCUGGGUGGGAUGCUAUUUAGAGGUAAGGCACAGGUUUGGAGGUGGAGGGUUAUAGCUGUUUGAGUCCAGCCAGUGCUUGGAGUGUUAAAUUAGUUUCCUAGUGCUGCAGUAACAAAGGAUCAAAAUCUGGGUGGUUUAAAACAGUAGAGAUUUAUUAUCUCAGUUCUAGAGGCUAAAAGUCCAAAAUCAAGGUGUUGCUAGGGCCAUGUUCUCUCUGACUGCUCUAGGGGAGAAUUCUUGCUUGCCACUUAAGCUUCUGAUGUUUGCCAGUAGUCCUUGAAGUUCUUUAGCUUGGGGAUGGCCAUCGUUCCUUGGGUGUCUUUCCCUCUGUGAGAGUCUCUCCAUGUCCAGAUUUCCCUUUUAAUAAAGAUACAGUCAGAUUUGUUCAGGGCCACCCUGAUGACCUCAUUUUAACUAUAUGAUUUCCCUAGAACUUGUUUCCAAAUAAGGUCAUAUUCUGUGCUACUAGGGUUUAGGACUUCAACAUAUCUUUUGCUGAUGAAUUUUACUAAAAAUUUAGGCUAUUUGAUACAUUGAAGUAAUAAAGGGUAGGAGAUCAAGAAGGUGAAAACAAAGGUAAAUACUGAGUUUUCAUGCUUUACUGAGAGAAUGCUGGUGCCGCUGUAAGGAAUGGGGGGAAGGAAAGUACAGAUUCCAGACAAGAAGAGAGGAGAGAGGGAAGUGAAUUUUGUUGUGAGCUGGCUGAAUUGGACUUUAGGUGAUUGUCACAUAGCUUCAUGAUCUAGUCAGAGUUGAGGGAAGAGCUCUGCAUCUUUUUUUAUCUUUUUUGUUUUGGCUGGGGGGAGUUUUUUAGGGCUGCAACUGUGGCAUAAGGAAGUUCCCAGGCGAGUGGUUGAAUCGGAGCUAUGGCUGCCAGCUACACCACAGCCACAGCAAUACGGAGUCUGAGCCAAGUUUGUGACCUACACCACAGCUCAUGGUAACGCAUGAUCCAUAACCCACUGAGGAGGCCAGGGAUCAAACCUGCAUCCUCAUGGAUACUAGUUGGAUUCGUGACCACUGAGCCGCAGCGGGUAUUCUGAGAUCUGCAUCUUGAUCACAGCUUUGCUAUGGAAAUGUCUGGGUUCUCAGAGGAGGGAGGCCAGAGAGUCUGAGAUCUGGGUCUCAAAAGGAAGCUAAUGAGAGAAGGUUACUUGUUGAAGUGGAUGCCUUCAUCCAUUAUAGAAAAAAAAAAAA
Molecule: long non-coding RNA, 5527 nt
Filed under: Sus scrofa (pig)
Lineage: Eukaryota; Metazoa; Chordata; Mammalia; Artiodactyla; Suidae
Description: lncRNA (ENSSSCG00030057553.1)
Source: RNAcentral